This 331-nucleotide long non-coding RNA is filed under the name Capra hircus (goat). Its description in RNAcentral is "lncRNA (ENSCHIG00000006293.1)". Lineage: Eukaryota; Metazoa; Chordata; Mammalia; Artiodactyla; Bovidae. The record is from RNAcentral.
UUACAGAGGAUUCUCCAUGCUGAAAAUGUGGAGCCUGGGGAAUUACAUAUGGUGCAUAUUUGGUGCAUAUGGUACAUAUGAAGCUUCCAGAGUUGGAAGGUGACAAAACAUGAAUAUGAUUUUCAACAUCUUCCCUAUGAGAAGAAGGGAACAUCCUUAGAAGCAUGAAAUGGGCUUCAGGAAUCCCGCUGGACCUGGUGCUUGGGUGCUGGGUCCUGGGGAUACAAGGGUAAGCGGAGGGGUGGGGCUCUCUUUCUUGGGGACCUUGGCACCCCCCUCCCUUUCUCUCCCCUCCCGGGUUGCCGGGGCUGGGGGCCGAGCCACGUGCAGG